AUUCUGCCCAUGUGGGGAAGGAUGAAGCUUCGACUAGGUUCGAUUCGAGCGCAGCGAAAGCGUUACCGCAGGCAACGACGAGGAACGGCGCGGCGCUGAGUAUCCUUCCCCACCACCA
RNAcentral lists this small RNA (118 nucleotides) under Salmonella enterica subsp. enterica. RNAcentral's name for it is "RtT sRNA". It matches the Rfam family "RtT RNA". From Rfam's summary of the family: This family represents a bacterial cis-regulatory element known as RtT RNA. The record is from RNAcentral. Lineage: Bacteria; Pseudomonadati; Pseudomonadota; Gammaproteobacteria; Enterobacterales; Enterobacteriaceae.